This 497-nucleotide ribosomal RNA is filed under the name uncultured bacterium. RNAcentral describes it as "partial 16S ribosomal RNA". It matches the Rfam family "Bacterial small subunit ribosomal RNA", at positions 28 to 507 of the family's 1533-position model. The record is from RNAcentral.
GAUGAACGCUGGCGGCGUGCCUAAUACAUGCAAGUCGAGCGAACAGACGAGGAGCUUGCUCCUCUGACGUUAGCGGCGGACGGGUGAGUAACACGUGGAUAACCUACCUAUAAGACUGGGAUAACUUCGGGAAACCGGAGCUAAUACCGGAUAAUAUAUUGAACCGCAUGGUUCAAUAGUGAAAGACGGUUUUGCUGUCACUUAUAGAUGGAUCCGCGCCGCAUUAGCUAGUUGGUAAGGUAACGGCUUACCAAGGCAACGAUGCGUAGCCAACCUGAGAGGGUGAUCGGCCACACUGGAACUGAGACACGGUCCAGACUCCUACGGGAGGCAGCAGUAGGGAAUCUUCCGCAAUGGGCGAAAGCUUGACGGAGCAACGCCGCGUGAGUGAUGAAGGUCUUCGGAUCGUAAAACUCUGUUAUUAGGGAAGAACAAAUGUGUAAGUAACUAUGCACGUCUUGACGGUACCUAAUCAGAAAGCCACGGCUAACUACGUG